GAUCAACAGUCCCAUCUCCGUCUGUCCUUAUAAGGAAGGUGUUCCAUCCCUUGGAUCACUUUUGUGGCCCUCUUCUGGAUGAACUCUGAUAGGUCCAUGUCUUUUCUGUACCGAGGACUACACAUGUGGACACAAUACUCCAGUCAAAGGUGGAUGUUGGUGGGGAUGGAAACUUCGUACCAGUAUUCCAUUACAUUUUGUUGCCGUGUGACAGAUGACAGCAGAGGGGCAGUCUGGAAGAAUGGCGUCUGACAUGGAAGUGCGACAGAAGCAAAGAUGUAUCACCGAAUUCAUCGCUGAAAAAGUUGUUCCUAUUGACAUUCGCUGACAAUUGCUGAACAUUUAUGGAGACCACACAGUGGAUGUGAGCACAGUGAGGAGUUACCAUGGGAAUAAAUAGGAGGCAUUACUUUUGGAAUGACCCACAUAUAAUGAACUCAUCAGAAGAGGAAAGCUGAGAGAUUCAGGAUGAAUUAAAACUCAUCAGCAACAUUCAGAGAGAAAGAGUAAAAACUAAGUGAUGAAAACAUGAAUAGAAACUUGACACUAGUGCACUGGCUUUGCUGAGUGACAACAGUUCAUAUUUAGCUGUGGAUUUGUUCCUUCUUGGAUACAAAAUUCAAAGAUUUCUUGCCCUGAGCAAGAAUCAAGAGAA
This 655-nucleotide long non-coding RNA is filed under the name Gallus gallus (chicken). Its description in RNAcentral is "lncRNA (ENSGALG00010006929.1)". The record is from RNAcentral. Lineage: Eukaryota; Metazoa; Chordata; Aves; Galliformes; Phasianidae.